Long non-coding RNA from Drosophila kikkawai, 507 nucleotides. RefSeq lists it as uncharacterized. Lineage: Eukaryota; Metazoa; Arthropoda; Insecta; Diptera; Drosophilidae. The record is from RefSeq and is a predicted model, not a curated record.
UAUCACUCGCCAUUCAAACGGAAAAAUGCUACGAAGUAUUUAAGUGUGAAGAUGGCAUCUGUUUUCAAAAAGCUAAGAAAAAACUAACUCCCGUGGUAAAAUAGCUAAAUUGGCAACGCUAAAUACACACGUGUAAAACGUAAAGAAAUUUAAUCACAUUAAUCAUGCUCAAACAAAAUAUAUUCUCUUUUGUCGUGACAUUCACUGUUGUCACUUAGCAUCAUAUUUGAUAUGUUGGGUGCCGGUCGCAGGAAUAAUUCCGGCCAUAAUUGCUUGGAGGUGAUGAGCAAUGGAAAUGUCCGAAGAAAUAUCUAGAAUAAGCUUUAAUGAUUAAUUGUUUUUUCGUUAUAUGUAUUAUAUAUGUUUAUUGUUUUUCUUUAUAUGUAUUAUGUAAAUAUGUAUGUAAAUAUGAAGUGUAAAAAAUACACUGCCGCUCACUUGAAUAGCCCACCCAAAACAUUCAUAUUAAAACCCCAAAAACUCACAAAUUAAAAAUUUCAAAAAAUA